UACGUAGGGGGCAAGCGUUGUCCGGAUUUAUUGGGCGUAAAGAGCGUGUAGGCGGUUUGGUAGGUCCGCUGUGAAAACUCGAGGCUCAACCUCGAGACGCCGGUGGAAACCAUCAGACUAGAGUCCGGAAGAGGAGAGUGGAAUUCCUGGUGUAGCGGUGAAAUGCGCAGAUAUCAGGAAGAACACCGGUGGCGAAGGCGGGUCUCUGGGCCGUAACUGACGCUGAGGAGCGAAAGCAUGGGGAGCGAACAGG
Molecule: ribosomal RNA, 253 nt
Filed under: uncultured bacterium
Lineage: Bacteria
Description: partial 16S ribosomal RNA
Rfam family: Bacterial small subunit ribosomal RNA
Source: RNAcentral